GAUUUCUUAAAAACUCUAAGACUAAACUGGAACAAGUUAUGGAGAAAUUAGCAUAGUCCCUGCACAACAGAUGACAUGCAAAUUUGUAAAGUGUUCAUUAUUUAA
Molecule: small nuclear RNA, 105 nt
Filed under: Microcebus murinus (gray mouse lemur)
Lineage: Eukaryota; Metazoa; Chordata; Mammalia; Primates; Cheirogaleidae
Source: RNAcentral